This 460-nucleotide ribosomal RNA is filed under the name uncultured bacterium. Its description in RNAcentral is "partial 16S ribosomal RNA". It matches the Rfam family "Bacterial small subunit ribosomal RNA", at positions 338 to 795 of the family's 1533-position model. The record is from RNAcentral.
CCUACGGGAGGCAGCAGUGAGGAAUAUUGGUCAAUGGGCGCAAGCCUGAACCAGCCAAGUAGCGUGAAGGAUGAAUGCCCUACGGGUUGUAAACUUCUUUUAUAAAGGAAUAAAGUGAGGCACGUGUGCCUUUUUGUAUGUACUUUAUGAAUAAGGAUCGGCUAACUCCGUGCCAGCAGCCGCGGUAAUACGGAGGAUCCGAGCGUUAUCCGGAUUUAUUGGGUUUAAAGGGAGCGUAGAUGGGCUGUUAAGUCAGCGGUGAAAGUUUGCGGCUCAACCGUAAAAUUGCAAUUGAUACUGGCAGGAUUGAGUACAGUUGAGGUAGGCGGAAUGCGUGGUGGAGCGGUGAAAUGCUUAGAUAUCACGAAGAACCCCGAUUGCGAAGGCAGCCUACCAAACGGUCACUGACAUUGAUGCGCGAAAGCGUGGGGAUCAAACAGGAUUAGAUACCCGGGUAGUC